Molecule: long non-coding RNA, 1163 nt
Organism: Melanotaenia boesemani (Boeseman's rainbowfish)
Lineage: Eukaryota; Metazoa; Chordata; Actinopteri; Atheriniformes; Melanotaeniidae
Exons: 3
Source: RefSeq, a predicted model, not a curated record
UGAAACUCACCCUGGUGCGUGAUGGUAUAAUGCUGUCCUCGCAGAAGUGGAUAUAUGAGGUCACAGUGUCCGUAUACUCAUCCAAACUGUCCGUGGCAGCCCUCAUUGAGUCCCAGUCUGUAGUCUCCAAACACGUGCGGAGCUCCUCCACAGCCUCGCUGGUCCACUGUUUUAUUGUCCUCACCACCGGUUUGGAGAGUUUCAGCCUCUGCCUGUACGCGGGGAUCAGGUGGAUCAUUUCGUGAUCAGAAAGACCGAGUGCAGCGCGGGGCACUGCGUGAUAAGCUCCGCUGAUCGUGCUGUAACAAUGGUCCAAUGUGUUCUCCUCUCUGGUCGGGCAUUUAAUGUACUGCUUAUAUUUGGGAAGUUCUUGGCUCAAGUUGGCUUUAUUAAAGUCCCCAAGAACAAUGAUGAGAGAGUCCGGGUAUGUCCGCUCCAUGCACAGUAUCUGGUCCGCAAGUGCACACUGAGCUACGUGCACGUCCGCGUCUGGCACGAUGUAAACAGCGGCCAGUAUGAAUGAGGCAAACUCCCGCGGAGAGUAAAACGGUUUACAGUGAAUGAAAAAAUAUUCCAGAGAGGGAGAACAGUGCUGAGCGAUCACUGUCAUGUCCGUACACCAGCCACUGUUGAUGUAGAAGCAGACACCUCCACCUGUUGCCUUGCCGGAGAGAGCUGCUUGUCUGUCCGCGCGGAGAAGAUGGAAUCCCUCCAGCUGUAACGCGCAGUCCGGGACCUCCUCACACAGCCACGUCUCCGUAAAGCACAAAACACAGGAUAAAUAAAAGUCUCUGUUCGUGCUCCUCAUCAGUGCUAGUUCGUCUAUUUUAUUCCUAAGUGAGCGCACAUUGGACAGGAAAAUUCCAGGUAAGGGCGUGCGUAAUCCACGUCGCCGUAGUCGCACGAGCACACCAGCUCGCUUCCCUCUCUUUCGACGUCUCACUCUCCGGAUCAAGGUCUGUAUUAAAUCUGCCGCCGAUACGACAAAAACUGGAAAUAGAUCCACUGGUGUUGUUGUCCUAAUGUUCAAAAGCUCUUCUCUGGUGUAAAAGUACCCAGAAGAAUGUCCAGACACACAGUUAACGCACAAAAACAGACAAAACAAUGCGCACCUAAGCACCAGGGCAUCCGUUCGCGGCGCCAUCUUGGCACAGGAAAUACCA